This 647-nucleotide ribosomal RNA is filed under the name uncultured bacterium. Its description in RNAcentral is "bacterial SSU rRNA". It matches the Rfam family "Bacterial small subunit ribosomal RNA", at positions 140 to 805 of the family's 1533-position model. The record is from RNAcentral.
GGAAUAGCAGCUGGAAACGGCUGAUAAAACCGCAUAAGCGCACAGUGCCGCAUGGCACAGUGUGAAAAACUCCGGUGGUAUGAGAUGGACCCGCGUCUGAUUAGCUGGUUGGCGGGGUAACGGCCCACCAAGGCGACGAUCAGUAGCCGGCCUGAGAGGGUGAUCGGCCACAUUGGGACUGAGACACGGCCCAAACUCCUACGGGAGGCAGCAGUGGGGAAUAUUGCACAAUGGGGGAAACCCUGAUGCAGCGACGCCGCGUGAAGGAAGAAGUAUCUCGGUAUGUAAACUUCUAUCAGCAGGGAAGAUAAUGACGGUACCUGACUAAGAAGCCCCGGCUAACUACGUGCCAGCAGCCGCGGUAAUACGUAGGGGGCAAGCGUUAUCCGGAUUUACUGGGUGUAAAGGGAGCGUAGGCGGCGGAGCAAGUCAGAAGUGAAAGCCCGGGGCUCAACCCCGGGACGGCUUUUGAAACUGCCCUGCUUGAUUUCAGGAGAGGUAAGCGGAAUUCCUAGUGUAGCGGUGAAAUGCGUAGAUAUUAGGAGGAACACCAGUGGCGAAGGCGGCUUACUGGACUGACAAUGACGCUGAGGCUCGAAAGCGUGGGGAGCAAACAGGAUUAGAUACCCUGGUAGUCCACGCCGUAA